RNAcentral lists this ribosomal RNA (425 nucleotides) under uncultured bacterium. RNAcentral's name for it is "partial 16S ribosomal RNA". It matches the Rfam family "Bacterial small subunit ribosomal RNA", at positions 354 to 796 of the family's 1533-position model. The record is from RNAcentral.
GUGGGGAAUCUUAGACAAUGGGGGCAACCCUGAUCUAGCCAUGCCGCGUGAUCGAUGAAGGCCUUAGGGUUGUAAAGAUCUUUCAGCUGGGAAGAUAAUGACGGUACCAGCAGAAGAAGCCCCGGCUAACUCCGUGCCAGCAGCCGCGGUAAUACGGAGGGGGCUAGCGUUGUUCGGAAUUACUGGGCGUAAAGCGCACGUAGGCGGAUUGGAAAGUUGGGGGUGAAAUCCCGGGGCUCAACCCCGGAACUGCCUUCAAAACUCCCAGUCUUGAGGUCGAGAGAGGUGAGUGGAAUUCCGAGUGUAGAGGUGAAAUUCGUAGAUAUUCGGAGGAACACCAGUGGCGAAGGCGGCUCACUGGCUCGAUACUGACGCUGAGGUGCGAAAGCGUGGGGAGCAAACAGGAUUAGAUACCCCAGUAGUCC